UAGACGUGGAUUUCCGCUUAGUGGCAAACGGGUGAGUAACACGUGGGUUACCUACCUCUAAGUUGGGGAUAACAGUUGGAAACGAUUGCUAAUACCGAAUGUGUUCUACGGAAUAAAGGAGCCCUUAAAGCUCCGCUUAGAGAUGGGCCUGCGGCGUAUAGCUAGUUGGUGGGGUAACGGCCUACCAAGGCAACGAUGCGUAGCCGAACUGAGAGGUUAAUCGGCCACACUGGGACUGAGACACGGCCCAGACUCCUACGGGAGACAGCAGUUAGGAAUAUUCGUCAAUGGGGGAAACCCUGAACGAGCAAUGCCGCGUGAGUGAUGACGGCCCUCUGGGUUGUAAAACUCUGUUGUUUGGAAAGAAUUGUUAGAGAAGGAAAUGUCUUUAACUUGACGGUACCAUUCAAGAAAGCCACGGCUAACUACGUGCCAGCCGCCGC
RNAcentral lists this ribosomal RNA (443 nucleotides) under uncultured bacterium. Its description in RNAcentral is "bacterial SSU rRNA". It matches the Rfam family "Bacterial small subunit ribosomal RNA", at positions 68 to 518 of the family's 1533-position model. The record is from RNAcentral.